This 1349-nucleotide ribosomal RNA is filed under the name Pediococcus acidilactici. RNAcentral describes it as "bacterial SSU rRNA". It matches the Rfam family "Bacterial small subunit ribosomal RNA", at positions 59 to 1371 of the family's 1533-position model. The record is from RNAcentral. Lineage: Bacteria; Bacillati; Bacillota; Bacilli; Lactobacillales; Lactobacillaceae.
UCGACGACUUCCGUUAUUGAUGAUGACGUGCUUGCACUGAAUGAGAUUUUAACACGAAGUGAGUGGCGGACGGGUGAGUAACACGUGGGUAACCUGCCCAGAAGCAGGGGAUAACACCUGGAAACAGAUGCUAAUACCGUAUAACAGAGAAAACCGCCUGGUUUUCUUUUAAAAGAUGGCUCUGCUAUCACUUCUGGAUGGACCCGCGGCGCAUUAGCUAGUUGGUGAGGUAACGGCUCACCAAGGCGAUGAUGCGUAGCCGACCUGAGAGGGUAAUCGGCCACAUUGGGACUGAGACACGGCCCAGACUCCUACGGGAGGCAGCAGUAGGGAAUCUUCCACAAUGGACGCAAGUCUGAUGGAGCAACGCCGCGUGAGUGAAGAAGGGUUUCGGCUCGUAAAGCUCUGUUGUUAAAGAAGAACGUGGGUGAGAGUAACUGUUCACCCAGUGACGGUAUUUAACCAGAAAGCCACGGCUAACUACGUGCCAGCAGCCGCGGUAAUACGUAGGUGGCAAGCGUUAUCCGGAUUUAUUGGGCGUAAAGCGAGCGCAGGCGGUCUUUUAAGUCUAAUGUGAAAGCCUUCGGCUCAACCGAAGAAGUGCAUUGGAAACUGGGAGACUUGAGUGCAGAAGAGGACAGUGGAACUCCAUGUGUAGCGGUGAAAUGCGUAGAUAUAUGGAAGAACACCAGUGGCGAAGGCGGCUGUCUGGUCUGUACUGACGCUGAGCUCGAAAGCAUGGGUAGCGACACGAACAGGAUUUAGAUACCCUGGUAGUCAUGCCGUAAACGAUGAUUACUAAGUGUGGAGGGUUUCGCCUCAGUGCUGCAGCUAACGCAUUAAGUAAUCCGCCUGGGGAGUACGACCGCAAGGUUGAAACUCAAAAGAAUUGACGGGGGCCCGCACAAGCGGUGGAGCAUGUGGUUUAAUUCGAAGCUACGCGAAGAACCUUACCAGGUCUUGACAUCUUCUGCCAACCUAAGAGAUUAGGCGUUCCCUUCGGGGACAGAAUGACAGGUGGUGCAUGGUUGUCGUCAGCUCGUGUCGUGAGAUGAAAAAAAAAGUCCCGCAACGAGCGCAACCCUUAUUACUAGUUGCCAGCAUUCAGUUGGGCACUCUAGUGAGACUGCCGGUGACAAACCGGAGGAAGGUGGGGACGACGUCAAAUCAUCAUGCCCCUUAUGACCUGGGCUACACACGUGCUACAAUGGAUGGUACAACGAGUUGCGAAACCGCGAGGUUUAGCUAAUCUCUUAAAACCAUUCUCAGUUCGGACUGUAGGCUGCAACUCGCCUACACGAAGUCGGAAUCGCUAGUAAUCGCGGAUCAGCAUGCCGCGGUGAAUACGU